RNAcentral lists this ribosomal RNA (727 nucleotides) under uncultured bacterium. RNAcentral's name for it is "bacterial SSU rRNA". It matches the Rfam family "Bacterial small subunit ribosomal RNA", at positions 9 to 737 of the family's 1533-position model. The record is from RNAcentral.
GAGUUUGAUCAUGGCUCAGGAUGAACGCUAGCGGGAGGCUUAACACAUGCAAGUCGAGGGGUAUAAGUAGCAAUAUUUAGAGACCGGCGCACAGGUAAGUAACGCGUAUGCGACCUGCCCUUUACAGGGGGAUAGCCCGUAGAAAUGCGGAUUAAUACCCCAUAGUACUAUUGGAUCGCAUGGUCUGAUAGUUAAAGUUUCGGCGGUAAAGGAUGGGCAUGCGUGACAUUAGCUAGUUGGAGAGGUAACGGCUCACCAAGGCUACGAUGUCUAGGGGUUCUGAGAGGAAGAUCCCCCACACUGGUACUGAGACACGGACCAGACUCCUACGGGAGGCAGCAGUGAGGAAUAUUGGUCAAUGGGCGAGAGCCUGAACCAGCCAUCCCGCGUGCAGGAAGAAUGCCCUAUGGGUUGUAAACUGCUUUUUCGCAUGAAGAACACUCCGGACGUGUCUGGAGCUGACGGUAAUGCGUGAAUAAGCACCGGCUAACUCCGUGCCAGCAGCCGCGGUAAUACGGAGGGUGCAAGCGUUAUCCGGAUUUAUCGGAUUUAAAGGGUGCGUAGGCGGUAAUAUAAGUCAGUGGUGAAAUCCUGCAGCUCAACUGUAGAACAGCCAUUGAAACUGCAUUACUUGAGUAAUCUUGAGGUAGGCGGAAUGUGUAGUGUAGCGGUGAAAUGCUUAGAUAUUACACAGAACACCGAUUGCGAAGGCAGCUUACUAAGGAUU